AGAACUUAGCAGAGAUGCUUUGGUGCCUUCGGGAACUCUGAGACAGGUGCUGCAUGGCUGUCGUCAGCUCGUGUUGUGAAAUGUUGGGUUAAGUCCCGCAACGAGCGCAACCCUUUAUCCUUUGUUGCCAGCGGGUUAUGCCGGGAACUCAAAGGAGACUGCCAGUGAUAAACUGGAGGAAGGUGGGGAUGACGUCAAGUCAUCAUGGCCCUUACGAGUAGGGCUACACACGUGCUACAAUGGCGCAUACAAAGAGAAGCGACCUCGCGAGAGCAAGCGGACCUCAUAAAGUGCGUCGUAGUCCGGAUUGGAGUCUGCAACUCGACUCCAUGAAGUCGGAAUCGCUAGUAAUCGUAGAUCAGAAUGCUACGGUGAAUACGUUCCCGGGCCUUGUACACACCGCCCGUCACACCAUGGGAGUGGGUUGCAAAAGAAGUAGGUAGCUUAACCUUCGGGAGGGCGCUUACCACUUUGUGAUUCAUGACUGGGGUGAAGUCGUAACAAGGUAGGCGUAGUGCU
This 519-nucleotide ribosomal RNA is filed under the name uncultured bacterium. Its description in RNAcentral is "bacterial SSU rRNA". It matches the Rfam family "Bacterial small subunit ribosomal RNA", at positions 992 to 1509 of the family's 1533-position model. The record is from RNAcentral.